This 643-nucleotide ribosomal RNA is filed under the name uncultured Actinomycetes bacterium. RNAcentral describes it as "bacterial SSU rRNA". It matches the Rfam family "Bacterial small subunit ribosomal RNA", at positions 232 to 885 of the family's 1533-position model. Lineage: Bacteria; Bacillati; Actinomycetota; Actinomycetes. The record is from RNAcentral.
CGCGGCCUAUCAGCUUGUUGGUGGGGUAACGGCCUACCAAGGCGACGACGGGUAGCUGGUCUGAGAGGACGACCAGCCACACUGGAACUGAGAUACGGUCCAGACUCCUACGGGAGGCAGCAGUGGGGAAUCUUGCAUAAUGGGCGAAAGCCUGAUGCAGCGACGCCGCGUGGGGGACGAAUGCCUUCGGGUUGUAAACCCCUUUCGGCAGGGACGAAGCGCAAGUGACGGUACCUGCAGAAGAAGCUCCGGCUAACUACGUGCCAGCAGCCGCGGUAAGACGUAGGGAGCGAGCGUUGUCCGGAUUCAUUGGGCGUAAAGCGCGCGUAGGCGGUUUGGCAAGUCGGAUGUGAAAUCCCGAGGCUCAACCUCGGGACUGCAUCCGAUACUGCCCGACUAGAGGUAGGUAGGGGAGAUCGGAAUUCCUGGUGUAGCGGUGAAAUGCGCAGAUAUCAGGAGGAACACCGGUGGCGAAGGCGGAUCUCUGGGCCUUACCUGACGCUGAGGCGCGAAAGCUAGGGGAGCGAACAGGAUUAGAUACCCUGGUAGUCCUAGCCGUAAACGUUGGGUGCUAGGUGUGGGCGGAUAUCGACCCCGUCCGUGCCGAAGCUAACGCAUUAAGCACCCCGCCUGGGGAGUACGG